AUCUAGCUAGUCAGUCCCAAAUAGGACGAAACGCGCGUUCUGGAU
RNAcentral lists this non-coding RNA (45 nucleotides) under Schistosoma curassoni. The record is from RNAcentral. Lineage: Eukaryota; Metazoa; Platyhelminthes; Trematoda; Strigeidida; Schistosomatidae.